UACAGAGGGUGCAAGCGUUAAUCGGAAUUACUGGGCGUAAAGCGUGCGUAGACGGUCAUGUAAGUCGGGUGUGAAAGCCCCGGGCUCAACCUGGGAAUUGCAUUCGAGACUGCAUGGCUAGGAUGCGGAAGAGGGAAGCGGAAUUUCCGGUGUAGCGGUGAAAUGCGUAGAGAUCAGCAGGAACACCCGUGGCGAAGGCGGCCCCCUGGGCCGUACCUGACGCUGAGGCGCGAAGGCUAGGGGAGCGACCCGG
RNAcentral lists this ribosomal RNA (253 nucleotides) under uncultured bacterium. RNAcentral's name for it is "partial 16S ribosomal RNA". It matches the Rfam family "Bacterial small subunit ribosomal RNA", at positions 524 to 776 of the family's 1533-position model. The record is from RNAcentral.